AGUAUAAAUGAUAUGAAAAAAACUCGAAAGCUCCAUUAUAUAAACAAACAAUGGAUCACAUUUCUAACACCAAAAAUUGACCCCCCUUCAUUUGGAGUCAACGCACAUAUCUUGAUUCAAACUCAAUCAUCUUGAAGAAGAAUUCAUUGCUGUUCCCAGGUUGUGAUCUUGACAACAACAAGCACUGAACAUGGCGGACAUGAUAUUUUUGAAACUUGAAAAUGGAAAGAUCAUAAAAAUCGAAGGUGACAACGCAAUACCUUGGUUCGUGACACAAGAAUUACGGAAACAUGAAGGUUCACAAACUGUUAGAAAUGUAUACAACAGGAUCGGUUUGGUUGAACCAAAUCCUCGUGUUAGGGACAUGAUUAUGGCUCGACUGUUUUUUACCCCUAACUGCGUACGAUUUUUCACGGGGGUCGAGUUAAUGCCUGACCAGAUGUUUGCAUCGUUUGUUAGAUUCCUGAAGGAUCAUCUCGCUUACUUGUUAUUUCCCAUGGCACCAGUAUUCGAUCGUAAUGGAGAAUCUUCAUUCGGAUUAGGGUUUGGUGGUGCAUUGCUGAGAGCACUGUAUCAUGUACCAAAGGGACAGUCCACAUAUUGGAGUAAAGAUUUGGGUGAUUUUGUUUGAUCAAGUAUUUUGGGGAAAAUAUAUGUUUUGGAAGUUUGGAUCUAAGCAUCUAGAUAUUUCAUUCAGGAUAAAUAGUGAAUAUAGAUAGUUGGAGUGUAAAGUUUUGUUAGAUUGUACUGGCUUAAUAAUAGCAUGUUGGAACAUCAUAACGAUGUUAGUUAGAUGGAUCUAGAGAUAAUACUUUGGGGAAAUAUAUGUUUUUGGGAAAUUAGAUGGAUCCAUUUCAGGUUUAGUAGUUGGAAAUACUUUGUUGAAGUGUAAAGUUUUGUUAAUAAUAAUGAUUGUAUUGAA
Molecule: long non-coding RNA, 922 nt
Organism: Helianthus annuus (common sunflower)
Lineage: Eukaryota; Viridiplantae; Streptophyta; Magnoliopsida; Asterales; Asteraceae
Exons: 2
Source: RefSeq, a predicted model, not a curated record